RNAcentral lists this ribosomal RNA (465 nucleotides) under uncultured bacterium. RNAcentral's name for it is "partial 16S ribosomal RNA". It matches the Rfam family "Bacterial small subunit ribosomal RNA", at positions 28 to 507 of the family's 1533-position model. The record is from RNAcentral.
GACGAACGCUGGCGGCGUGCUUAACACAUGCAAGUCGAACGGAAAGGCCCUGCUUGCAGGGUACUCGAGUGGCGAACGGGUGAGUAACACGUGGGUGAUCUGCCCUGCACUUCGGGAUAAGCCUGGGAAACUGGGUCUAAUACCGGAUAGGAGCCAUCCUUAGGGUGAGGGUUGGAAAGUUUUUUCGGUGUAGGAUGAGAUCGCGGCCUAUCAGCUUGUUGGUGGGGUAAUGGCCUACCAAGGCGGCGACGGGUAGCCGGCCUGAGAGGGUGGACGGCCACAUUGGGACUGAGAUACGGCCCAGACUCCUACGGGGGGCAGCAGUGGGGAAUAUUGCACAAUGGGGGCAAGCCUGAUGCAGCGACGCCGCGUGGGGGAUGACGGCCUUCGGGUUGUAAACUCCUUUCGCUAGGGACGAAGCUUUUUGUGACGGUACCGAGAUAAGAAGCACCGGCUAACUACGUG